This 1161-nucleotide long non-coding RNA is filed under the name Carassius auratus (goldfish). RNAcentral describes it as "lncRNA (ENSCARG00000056295.1)". The record is from RNAcentral. Lineage: Eukaryota; Metazoa; Chordata; Actinopteri; Cypriniformes; Cyprinidae.
UGAGGUAAUCCAAUGGCAGUUUACAACCCAGUGCCUACCGUAAUGUCGGCCACAGUAACUGAGACCUUCCAGUCUGUUGUACCUUAACCGGGUGAGCAGAAAAACCCUAGUUCAAUGAUUUCUCUCAUGUCAUCUUUUUUUGGGGAUUUCAUCAUUAACUUUUUUUUCUUUCAGCUCCAAUAGUAGUUUGCAACACACAGCCCACCGUCAUGCUCCCACCUGCCCUGGGUGAGCAGAAAGAGACACUCUGCCUCGGACACUAAAAGUUUUCAGCAUACACAUGAUGCAUCUGUACAUUACAGGUUUAUGAUGGUAUUAUAUUUGUCUCUCCAUGUAACUGCAGUGGUAGCUAGCUUCACGUCCUCGUCUGACUGAGUUCCCGGGGCAGAUGAAAUGUCCUCGCUGUCAGCUAGAGGUCGUCACAGAGACAAUCUUCAUCAGUGGCCUGAUGACAUGGGCCAUCGCUGCAGGUCUUGCCCUUUUAAUAAUCUGGCCGUGUUGUUUGAUCCCUUUUUGUUGGAAUUCCUGCAAGGACGUAGCACAUCGCUGCCCAAUAUGCAAAAGUGUCAUCUAUGUGUACAAACGCACAUGCUGAAAUAAAGAAAUCAUGGAAGACCAAACAUCUUUAGCGCCAACAUCUUCUGGACAGUACUGGGUUUUCUAAAGAAAAACAACAUUAUAACAUGCAAAAGGCUGAUGUAUUUCCUGCUUUAUUAAAAAAAUAUAUGCACAUGUAUUUAUAUAUAUAUAUAUAUAUAUAUAUUGCAUAAAUAGGGAAAGUGAAACUCAUUGGCUUGUCAUGUCAUCGUGGUGUUUUCUUUUGAAUUGUGAAGUUAUAUAUUGAUAUAUAUUUUUAUAUGAUAUAUGAUUUUUCCUUUUUUUGUUCUUUUUUUAAAUUGUAAAUUCAUAAUGAACUGCAGAAUGUAGGCUUUUUUUUUUUUUGUUGGCAUUUUUACAUACAAGUUUAUUUCAAUGUUUGUAACAAUGUUUGAAUGCAUGUAACAAUCAUGCCUUUGAAUGUUCUACUGCAUUCUACUGCAAGUUGUGAAGUCAGCGAAAAUUAACAAAAUGAUUUGAUUGCGACAGAACUAAGGGAACGUUCCAAUGUUUUAGCUAAGCUAUCCACACGUCCUACUAAAACGUUUCAGAACUAUAUAAUUA